Molecule: ribosomal RNA, 301 nt
Filed under: uncultured bacterium
Lineage: Bacteria
Description: partial 16S ribosomal RNA
Rfam family: Bacterial small subunit ribosomal RNA
Source: RNAcentral
CAGCAGCCGCGGGAAUACGUAGGGUGCAAGCGUUAAUCGGAAUUACUGGGCGUAAAGCGUGCGCAGGCGGUUCUAUAAGACAGAUGUGAAAUCCCCGGGCUCAACCUGGGAACUGCAUUUGUGACUGUAGAGCUGGAGUGCGGCAGAGGGGGAUGGAAUUCCGCGUGUAGCAGUGAAAUGCGUAGAUAUGCGGAGGAACACCGAUGGCGAAGGCAAUCCCCUGGGCCUGCACUGACGCUCAUGCACGAAAGCGUGGGGAGCAAACAGGAUUAGAUACCCCCGUAGUCCCUGUCUCUUAUAA